CCUUUUCAAAGGGCGACUGGGUUUUUAGGAGACCCAAUUGCCAAAUCCUGGAUUUGGAAAAUCAUCAUCCAACACCCAUUUUUUUCGUUCGGGCGUCGCUGUAGAGAUUUUAGGACUUUUUGGAAGCAAGAGAGAUUGAAAAAUUAGCCGGGAAUCGAGCCACGGACCUCUGGAAUAUGCGCCGAGCGUGGAGACCACCACACCACGAAGGCAUUAGAAAUACCUUAUAAUCUUAUGUGUUAAUUGACGGUAAAUUAAGAUAAUGAAGUAACCAUCUCUUUUACAAUAGUAGUUCAAUAAUUAAAAUAGCUUACAGUCAUUUCUCAAAGAAAUGUCAAAAUAUUUUACAAUAGUAGUAAUUUAAAUAAAGUUUCACGUUUGUUAGUUUUCAGAUAUUAUUAAAUAAGUGAUUCUACUCUUCAGGUUGGCGGUGUAAAACUUAUGGUCAUAGAACUGGUGAUAGAGAAUGUCCAUUAUUUGUUACAGGAAAUGCACAGAUUGAAAAAUUUCGAUAUAUUCAUGAGGAUCCAAUGCAUAAUUUUAUUUCUGAGAAAAGAAAAGCUGAAAAACUUGAAAGAGUACAACAAUUACAAGCUCUUCUAGCAUCUUCAGAUACUUCUACAAGUUCAUCCUCUGAAUCUAGUUCUGAAAGUUCUAGUGAUGAAAGAAAGAAGCAUAAAAGAAAAAGGAAAAAGUCACAUCAUAAGCACAAAAAGAAGAAAAAGCAUAAAUAAAGAAAAUAGCUUAAAAUGUAUAUAUUUAUUUGUAGGUGCUAUUAUGUAAAGUGCACUCAAGCUUGCUCAAAGUUCUAUGUUUUUUCAUUAAUGUAUUGAGGAAUAAGAUAAAGUGUAGAAUAUUGUUA
Stegodyphus dumicola is the source of this 862-nucleotide long non-coding RNA. The record is from RefSeq and is a predicted model, not a curated record. Lineage: Eukaryota; Metazoa; Arthropoda; Arachnida; Araneae; Eresidae.